RNAcentral lists this ribosomal RNA (492 nucleotides) under uncultured bacterium. RNAcentral's name for it is "partial 16S ribosomal RNA". It matches the Rfam family "Bacterial small subunit ribosomal RNA", at positions 29 to 507 of the family's 1533-position model. The record is from RNAcentral.
AGUGAACGCUGGCGGUAGGCCUAACACAUGCAAGUCGAACGGCAGCACCGCAAUAGCUUGCUCUUACGGGUGGCGAGUGGCGGACGGGUGAGGAAUACAUCCGAAUCUACUUUUUCGUGGGGGAUAACGUAGGGAAACUUACGCUAAUACCGCAUACGCCCUACGGGUGAAAGCAGGGGAUCUUCGGACCUUUCGCGAUUGAAUGAGCCGAUGUCGGAUUAGCUAGUUGGCGGGGUAAAGGCCCACCAAGGCGACGAUCCGUAGCUGGUCUGAGAGGAUGAUCAGCCACACUGGAACUGAGACACGGUCCAGACUACUACGGGAGGCAGCAGUGGGGAAUAUUGGACAAUGGGCGCAAGCCUGAUCCAGCCAUACCGCGUGGGUGAAGAAGGCCUUCGGGUUGUAAAGCCCUUUUGUUGGGAAAGAAAGGCAGCAGGUUAAUACCCCGCUGUUCUGACGGUACCCAAAGAAUAAGCACCGGCUAACUUCGUG